This 488-nucleotide ribosomal RNA is filed under the name uncultured bacterium. RNAcentral describes it as "bacterial SSU rRNA". It matches the Rfam family "Bacterial small subunit ribosomal RNA", at positions 29 to 518 of the family's 1533-position model. The record is from RNAcentral.
AUGAACGCUGGCGGCGUGCCUAACACAUGCAAGUCGAACGAAGCUCUUUGUUGAUUUUUCGGAAUGAUACAAAAGAUGACUUAGUGGCGGACGGGUGAGUAACGCGUGGAUAACCUGCCCUUGCAGGGGGAUGACAGUUAGAAAUGACUGCUAAUACCGCAUAAGCGCACACUACCGCAUGGUAGAGUGUGAAAAGCGCAUACGGCAAAGGAUGGGUCCGCGUCUGAUUAGCUGGUUGGUGAGGUAACGGCUCACCAAGGCGACGAUCAGUAGCCGGCCUGAGAGGGCGACCGGCCACAUUGGGACUGAGACACGGCCCAGACUCCUACGGGAGGCAGCAGUGGGGAAUAUUGCACAAUGGGGGAAACCCUGAUGCAGCGACGCCCGCGUGAGCGAAGAAGUAUUUCGGUAUGUAAAGCUCUAUCAGCAGGGAAGAUAAUGACGGUACCUGACUAAGAAGCUCCGGCUAAAUACGUGCCAGCAGCAGC